RNAcentral lists this ribosomal RNA (253 nucleotides) under uncultured bacterium. Its description in RNAcentral is "partial 16S ribosomal RNA". It matches the Rfam family "Bacterial small subunit ribosomal RNA", at positions 524 to 776 of the family's 1533-position model. The record is from RNAcentral.
UACGUAGGGGGCAAGCGUUGUCCGGAUUUAUUGGGCGUAAAGAGCGUGUAGGCGGCCAGGUAGGUCUGCUGUGAAAACUCGAGGCUCAACCUCGAGAUGUCGGCGGAAACCAUCUGGCUAGAGUCCGGAAGAGGAGAAUGGAAUUCCCGGUGUAGCGGUGAAAUGCGCAGAUAUCAGGAAGAACACCAAUGGCGAAAGCAGCUCUCUGGGACGGUACUGACGCUGAGACGCGAAAGCGUGGGGAGCGAACAGG